Molecule: ribosomal RNA, 490 nt
Filed under: uncultured bacterium
Lineage: Bacteria
Description: partial 16S ribosomal RNA
Rfam family: Bacterial small subunit ribosomal RNA
Source: RNAcentral
AUUGAACGCUGGCGGCAGGCCUAACACAUGCAAGUCGAACGGUAACAGGAAGAAGCUUGCUUCUUUGCUGUCGCGUGGCGGACGGGUGUGUCAUGUCUGGGACCCUCCUUGAUGGCGGGGGUUACCUACUGGAACCGGUAGCUAUUCCCGCAUAACUUUGCAAGCCCAAAGUGCGGGACUUUCGGGCCUCUUGCCUUCGGCUGUGCCCAGAUGGGAUUAGCUAGUAGGUGGGGUAACGGCUCACCUAGGCGACGAUCCCUAGCUGGUCUGAGAGGAUGACCAGCCACACUGGAACUGAGACACGGUCCAGACUCCUACGGGAGGCAGCAGUGGGGAAUAUUGCACAAUGGGCGCAAGCCUGAUGCAGCCAUGCCGCGUGUAUGAAGAAGGCCUUCGGGUUGUAAAGUACUUUCAGCGGGGAGGAAGGGAGGAAAGUGAAUACCUGUGCGCAUUGACGUUACCCGCAGAAGAAGCACCGGCUAACUCCGUG